GCUUAGGCAUGGAAGGAGAGAGAGAGAGGCCAUGCCCUCUCUCUUGUGCAUGAAAACCCUAAGGGGGUGCCAACUGUUGAUGCCCCAACUACGUGCCUAAUAAUUCAUGUGGCACCCUCUCAUCUUGUCUUAUAAGAUAAGAGCGCUACAUCCACCUGAUUUUUGAAGCAAGAGCCUUUCCAAUUAGGUCUUAUUGUUUUAAGAUUAUAAUG
Molecule: long non-coding RNA, 212 nt
Filed under: Elaeis guineensis (African oil palm)
Lineage: Eukaryota; Viridiplantae; Streptophyta; Magnoliopsida; Arecales; Arecaceae
Description: long non-coding RNA (EGUI_LNC034334)
Source: RNAcentral